AUCAGUAUGUGGGUGAGCUUAUCUCUCUCUCUCUCUCUUUGUUUCUUUCCCUCUUUUUCUCACAGGCUGACCGACUUUCUUUUCGUGAUAAAAGGAUAAACGUGGGCCAGGCAUUCCGCAAACAACUGAAAGGACACUGUAUGUCAUUGAAUCACAUUGUUAAAUUGUUAAAAACUGAUUUAUCACACAUAAGACCAAUAUUGUCUUAAUUAUUUUUACUUGAAAAUGUGAUGAUAAUGACCUAAAAUAGUCUAGAACCUGACUGUAUGACUUCUGCACGUUCUGUAUGUACUCUAUAUUCUGUUUGUUCUUUAACAACAGACAGCUAUACUGCGGAUACUCAGGGUUCAUCUAUGGCUUAUCAAGCUCCUUUUGGCACCACAUACCUGACCACCCCUACUGGAUAUCCCUACACCUACCACAAUGGAGUGGCCUACUUCCACACACCAGAGCCCAACACACUGAGCCCCUCACACUGGCAUGCUCCACCCCACACGAUGUCUGGAUCGUCCGUCAUGGUGACCCACUCUGCCUCUUCCAUCUGCAUCCCACAACCCUACCACAAUUCACAGGCUUCUUCUCAGUAUGUGCCUGGACACGUGCCAUGGACCAUUCCUCAGGUAGAGGCUUCUUCACAGUAUGUGUCUGGACAUGUGCCAUGGACUAUUCCUCAGGUAGAGGUGUGUUCUUAAAUGCAUUGGAGAAAGUGGCUUUGUGUCAGUCAUUGGUUAAAAUUUAGUUGAUCUGCAUAAAUGUACACAAUCCAGUGAGAAUAUUGUUUCUGCUCCUCUGAGCAUAUAGGGGCACUUUGUAGUUAUAUAAUGGCAGCUAUUAUUUGGGAAGUUGGUAGUUGGUAGGAGUGUCUAAUAGAGUGGACAAUGGGUGUUUAAAAAGUCCAGCAGCACUGCUGUGUCUGAUUCACUUGUGAAAUAAUGGACAGUGAAUGUAGAAAGAAGAAAAUGGUCAUGAUAUUCUGACUAGAUUUUUGUUUGCGUUAGACCUCCGUCCCUGUGAAUCCAAGUUCUUUAUCAUGCAUCCAGCCUGCUGAGGUAAUGUACCAGCCCAUGGAGAUGCCAGCAGAGAAUUGGUGUUUCCAGUCAGCCAUGCCAUUAAUGGAGGCUACAAUUCCCGAGGUAAAAAGUAGUAGUCUCAUACACUUAGUAUUGGGAAGAAACUGGUGAUGUGAUACGCAUGGUAAUACAGGAGUUAUGAUUAAAUGUAAUCCAAGAUAUUGACAUACAACUCUGGAAAAAAAUAAAAGACCACUUCUGUUUCUGAAUCA
RNAcentral lists this long non-coding RNA (1282 nucleotides) under Astyanax mexicanus (Mexican tetra). RNAcentral's name for it is "lncRNA (ENSAMXG00005009391.1)". Lineage: Eukaryota; Metazoa; Chordata; Actinopteri; Characiformes; Acestrorhamphidae. The record is from RNAcentral.